This 448-nucleotide ribosomal RNA is filed under the name uncultured bacterium. RNAcentral describes it as "bacterial SSU rRNA". It matches the Rfam family "Bacterial small subunit ribosomal RNA", at positions 329 to 794 of the family's 1533-position model. The record is from RNAcentral.
AGCCAGACUCCUACGGGAGGCAGCAGUGGGGAAUAUUGCACAAUGGGGGGAACCCUGAUGCAGCGACGCCGCGUGGGUGAAGGAGUACUUCGGUACGUAAAGCCCUAUCAGCAGGGAAGAAGAUGACGGUACCUGACUAAGAAGCCCCGGCUAACUACGUGCCAGCAGCCGCGGUAAUACGUAGGGGGCAAGCGUUAUCCGGAUUUACUGGGUGUAAAGGGAGCGUAGACGGAGAAGCAAGUCUGAAGUGAAAGCCCGUGGCUUAACCACGGGACUGCUUUGGAAACUGUUUGACUAGAGUGCUGGAGAGGUAAGUGGAAUUCCUAGUGUAGCGGUGAAAUGCGUAGAUAUUAGGAGGAACACCAGUGGCGAAGGCGGCUUACUGGACAGUAACUGACGUUGAGGCUCGAAAGCGUGGGGAGCAAACAGGAUUAGAUACCCGGGUAUC